GCUGACCUCAGAGCAGGGAGGAUCUUGCUGGCUUUGCUCCAUCUACCCCCAUGGGGGGCACAGGUUCAGCUCACGGGGUGGCAGCUUCUGAACCACUCACUUACAACGCUCCUGAAUACCACUAACUAAUAAGCCAGGCACCCGGCUUACACUGGUGCACGACAUUCCUCAUGCAGAAGACCCGCUUUUUGAACUGCUCUUUGCUACCCAGCAUUUACUUUUCUCGCUCCUCUAAUCAUCCUGGGUCAAGGACCUAAGCAGAGUUAUUCCUCUAGACAUAAAGUUAGAAAACUGGUGAGUGGUACUGGGACUCACCAGAUGACAGAGCGCACACAUGAGUCUGGGCACGGCUCAGAGGGCAUCUCCAAGCCCCAGAUCAGGGUUCCAGUUAUUAGAUCUACCUUCAGCUUGUUCUCUCCUGAAUUUUCUAUCUUCAUAUUUUCCAAAACAUUUUCUCCAUUCUGUGUUACAAACAACAUUUAAAUGUUCGAAUAAUUGAGAAAUUGUUUUCCAUUUUUGCUUGUACAUCUGAUGUACAUCUGGAUGGGUGGCACUGGGCACACUUAAAAUAAAGGGAAAUAAAUAGCUCUGAGAUGCAACAGCAGAUGCAUUUGCUCAAAAGCGAACGGCAAAGAUCUGCACUUCAUUUUUACAGUAUUUCAUCAGACAUAUGGUACGCCAGGCUAGGUGAUUUUUAUUUAAAAAGUCACUUGUGCUGAAUUCAGAAUUUAAAGGCAUACACAGACAGUCAUUCUGCUCCCCGUGGGCACAAGGGCAUUCUUAUUCCUGGGGAUGUCAUUACUGAUGAUCGCAAGGCGAACUGAAGUUUUCAGAGGGAGUGCCAGUUUCCAACGUGAAGCUCAGCCAUGCGAGGAGAAAACCAGAGGUUCCAGCUGUCUCCGUUUAAGGCUCAAUCCUCAAAGCUUCGGGCUGCAGUUCUGGCCUCCUCAACAGAUCGGCAGGUAUUCAAGCGAGCUCGUUUCACGGAAGCAAGAUGGCAGGCACUGGCACCACAGCCAGAAGAAACUGAAGGGACUAGCUGGAAAAAGAACAUCUGCUUAUUCAAAUCAAGUUAUAAGAGAUGUACUGAAUCACAAAUGGUGACGUCAUGGUACCUGAAUCACCGAUCAGCAAGCCAUCCAAUGGAGGAUGAUGAUCUACCUCUCUUGAUCUCACAGUCAAGAGUUUUCCAUCUCCACGAUAACUCAACUUCAGUUCAACCCCAGUACAGGCUGGCUGAGCACCACUAGGAACAGGUCAACCCCCUCACACAGACCAAGAAAGAACAAAAAAGCCUAGCUGGAUGUCCUUAACCUCCUCUGACUCCCAUUUUCAACUGGAAGCUUUGGUCCCCUUGACAUCUGAGCAACAUAGAAGCCACUACAACUUCAAAGUCCUUCCCUGUCAUCUCCAAUCUGAAGGGAGUCCAUAAUCUGAAGGAAACCCUCUGGUUGGGUAGACUUGAAUUCAUUUCCGUCAAUUUAUAGUUCACUUUUGGAAACCAGAGGAGGCCAAAUCCUAGGAGACCUGGCUCCUCAGGGUUCCACAGAGUGGUCCAUUUAUUUCUGGUUGCAAAUGGAGAGGCAUAGAUCUUCCCUACCCCCUCAGCAGUGGGGCCUUUUGUAAUUACGCUCACUCUCUUAUCAAGCUGUUCUGACUGCUCAUGUAUAUGGAUGGCCCUUGUUCCAGUGUCCAAGUAGCAUCGUACAACAUUCAGAACUUCUCGGCCUGGCUCCUUGUUCUAUAAUUUUUUGAAAAAUCACAGAGGGAAGGAAGCAGAGGAGAGGUUUAAUUUGGAAGUCAAGUUGCGCUCCUUUCACGGACUAUACGGCAAAUAGUUACUUCAGUAGUGUGGGUCUUGCUGAAAACUCUUGAACCAUAAACACUGUGCACUGUUUCUCCUCAGUCUCUCUUUCUAGCCUAUACCAACUACUACUAUCACACUGACUGGAGACUUUGCCAGGGUCAGAGGUUCUCAAGGUUUAAGAUUAAUCAGAAUCACCAGGGGAAAAUGUUAGCAAUGCUGAUUUCCAGGUCUUGUGCUCUAGGACUUGAUUUGGGAGAUACAAGAUUUAGGAGAUAGAAGAAAUCUAAAUUUUUAGCUACAGAUCAAUUGGUUCUGAAGCAGGAAGGCUAAGGUACAUUGGCUCACUGGCCCAGGUCAAAGCUGACACUUUCUAAAUCCAUUUUUAACAUUGGCAGGUGGAUUUUUUCUUUUGUUUCAUACCAAACAUUCAAGAUUAAAUGCUGUCUCCCAGCCUUUAAAAUAUCUUAAUACCUUGUUGAGGUAAACAGUAUGUUUUUGAUUUGUAGAAUUGUUCUUCUUCAAUUCAG
This is a long non-coding RNA of Chinchilla lanigera (long-tailed chinchilla), 2334 nucleotides long. Lineage: Eukaryota; Metazoa; Chordata; Mammalia; Rodentia; Chinchillidae. The record is from Ensembl.